This 76-nucleotide transfer RNA is filed under the name Gammaproteobacteria bacterium RIFCSPLOWO2_02_FULL_61_13. RNAcentral's name for it is "tRNA-Thr". It matches the Rfam family "tRNA". Rfam says of the family: Transfer RNA (tRNA) molecules are approximately 80 nucleotides in length. Their secondary structure includes four short double-helical elements and three loops (D, anti-codon, and T loops). Lineage: Bacteria; Pseudomonadati; Pseudomonadota; Gammaproteobacteria. RNAcentral also lists the same sequence under 2 other names. The record is from RNAcentral.
GCCGGAUUAGCUCAACUGGUAGAGCACCCGCCUUGUAAGCGGAAGGUUGUGGGUUCAAGUCCCGCAUCCGGCACCA